Molecule: ribosomal RNA, 200 nt
Filed under: uncultured Lactobacillus sp.
Lineage: Bacteria; Bacillati; Bacillota; Bacilli; Lactobacillales; Lactobacillaceae
Description: partial 16S ribosomal RNA
Rfam family: Bacterial small subunit ribosomal RNA
Source: RNAcentral
GCUAAUACCGGAUAACAACAGAUGAUGCCUAUCAACUGUUUAAAAGAUGGUUCUGCUAUCACUCUUGGAUGGACCUGCGGUGCAUUAGCUAGUUGGUAGGGUAACGGCCUACCAAGGCGAUGAUGCAUAGCCGAGUUGAGAGACUGAUCGGCCACAUUGGGACUGAGGCACGGCCCAAACUCCUACGGGAGGCAGCAGCU